This 98-nucleotide Y RNA is filed under the name Prolemur simus (greater bamboo lemur). RNAcentral describes it as "Y RNA (ENSPSMG00000017155.1)". It matches the Rfam family "Y RNA". Rfam says of the family: Y RNAs are components of the Ro ribonucleoprotein particle (Ro RNP), in association with Ro60 and La proteins. The Y RNAs and Ro60 and La proteins are well conserved, but the function of the Ro RNP is not known. Lineage: Eukaryota; Metazoa; Chordata; Mammalia; Primates; Lemuridae. The record is from Rfam by way of RNAcentral.
GGCUGGCCUGAGUGUAGUGGUGUUUACAACUAAUUGAUCACAGCCAGUUACAGAUUUGUUUCUUCUCCGCUCCCAUUGCUUCACUUGACUGGCCUAAA